This 195-nucleotide ribosomal RNA is filed under the name uncultured Streptococcus sp. Its description in RNAcentral is "partial 16S ribosomal RNA". It matches the Rfam family "Bacterial small subunit ribosomal RNA", at positions 1190 to 1384 of the family's 1533-position model. The record is from RNAcentral. Lineage: Bacteria; Bacillati; Bacillota; Bacilli; Lactobacillales; Streptococcaceae.
UCAUCAUGCCCCUUAUGACCUGGGCUACACACGUGCUACAAUGGUUGGUACAACGAGUUGCGAGUCGGUGACGGCGAGCUAAUCUCUUAAAGCCAAUCUCAGUUCGGAUUGUAGGCUGCAACUCGCCUACAUGAAGUCGGAAUCGCUAGUAAUCGCGGAUCAGCACGCCGCGGUGAAUACGUUCCCGGGCCUUGU